CCUACGGGAGUCAGCAGUGAGGAAUAUUGGUCAAUGGGCGGGAGCCUGAACCAGCUAAGCCGCGUGAGGGAAGAAGGUACUACGUAUCGUAAACUUCUUUUGUCAGGGAACAAAGUCCGGCACUAGUGCCCUUUUGUAUGUACCUUAUGAAUAAGCAUCGGCUAACUCCGUGCCAGCAGCCGCGGUAAUACGGAGGAUCCGAGCGUUAUCCGGAUUUAUUGGGUUUAAAGGGUGCGCAGGGGGGUCGUUAAGUCAGGGGUAAAAGCUCGGGGCUCAACCGCAACAGUGCCAUUGAACCUGGCAGGCUGGAGUACAGGUGAGGUAGGCGGAAUGCGUGGGGUAGCGGUGAAAUGCUUAGAUAUCACGAAGAACCCCGAUUGCGAAGGCAGCGUAC
Molecule: ribosomal RNA, 394 nt
Filed under: uncultured bacterium
Lineage: Bacteria
Description: partial 16S ribosomal RNA
Rfam family: Bacterial small subunit ribosomal RNA
Source: RNAcentral